This is a non-coding RNA of Dermacentor andersoni, 583 nucleotides long. The record is from RefSeq and is a predicted model, not a curated record. NCBI's taxonomy places the organism in Eukaryota, Metazoa, Arthropoda, Arachnida, Ixodida, Ixodidae.
UGAAAUAGAUAUCGACCAACAAGGAAUUCUUCGACUCUUACAAAAACUGGAUGUAGAGAAACCCUGUGGCCCUGAUCUUAUAUCAGAUGCAUUUUUGCAAAAACAUGCAGUUUGGACGUCAAAAUACUUAUACGUAAUUUACAGGCGAUCUUUGGAAGCUUCAGUGAUACCUGACGACUGGCGAAGGGCCAAAGUAAUACCUGUGCACAAAUCUGGCUCUAAACUCGACUUUCUUCCUCUGGGCUUAAGUGGGACGCUUCUCCAUCAUUGGUGCGAAAGUGCCUCCAGAACCUUCCGGGAUUAUUAGUAAGAAAGCUCGGUAACUUUACAUUAAAAUAAUAUUCUUUUGCUCGUUUGGCUGCAAGCUUGAAUUCCGCGAUGGCAUUAGGAAGUUUCGUCACCCUGGAUUCGUCUCCUCCUUUAAUUUUUAUUGUUCUAUGCAGUCUUUUCAGACGGCGCUUUGCCUGAAUAACUUCUUGGGUUAUCCAGGGAUUAUUUUUUGGCGGCCGCUUGGUUUUAGUGGGCACGUAGUUUGUGACGCAGUAGAGGACGAUAGAUUUGUACUUAUACUCGCCUAUUAUAC